AUUGAACGCUGGCGGCAUGCCUUACACAUGCAAGUCGAACGGCAGCACGGGAGCAAUCCUGGUGGCGAGUGGCGAACGGGUGAGUAAAGUAUCGGAACGUGCCCAGUCGUGGGGGAUAACGUAGCGAAAGUUACGCUAAUACCGCAUACGAUCUAUGGAUGAAAGCGGGGGAUCGCAAGACCUCGCGCGGUUGGAGCGGCCGAGAUCAGAUUAGGUAGUUGGUGGGGUAAAGGCUCACCAAGUUGACGAUCUGGAGCUGGUCUGAGAGGCCGACCAGCCACACUGGGACUGAGACACGGCCCAGACUCCUACGGGAGGCAGCAGUGGGGAAUUUUGGACAAUGGGCGCAAGCCUGAUCCAGCCAUGCCGCGUGCAGGAUGAAGGCCUUCGGGUUGUAAACUGCUUUUGUACGGAACGAAAAGGUUUGGCUUAAUACGUUGAACUCAUGACGGUACCGUAAGAAUAAGCACCGGCUAACUACGUGCCAGCCGCCGCCGUAA
Molecule: ribosomal RNA, 500 nt
Filed under: uncultured bacterium
Lineage: Bacteria
Description: partial 16S ribosomal RNA
Rfam family: Bacterial small subunit ribosomal RNA
Source: RNAcentral